Molecule: ribosomal RNA, 468 nt
Filed under: uncultured bacterium
Lineage: Bacteria
Description: partial 16S ribosomal RNA
Rfam family: Bacterial small subunit ribosomal RNA
Source: RNAcentral
GACGAACGCUGGCGGCGUGCUUAACACAUGCAAGUCGAACGGAAAGGCCCUGCUUUUGUGGGGUGCUCGAGUGGCGAACGGGUGAGUAACACGUGAGUAACCUGCCCUUGACUUUGGGAUAACUUCAGGAAACUGGGGCUAAUACCGGAUAGGAGCUCCUGCUGCAUGGUGGGGGUUGGAAAGUUUCGGCGGUUGGGGAUGGACUCGCGGCUUAUCAGCUUGUUGGUGGGGUAGUGGCUUACCAAGGCUUUGACGGGUAGCCGGCCUGAGAGGGUGACCGGGCACAUUGGGACUGAGAUACGGCCCAGACUGCUACGGGAGGCAGCAGUGGGGAAUAUUGCACAAUGGGCGGAAGCCAGAUGCAGCAACGCCGCGUGCGGGAUGACGGCUUUCGGGUGGUAAACCGCUUUCGCCGGUGACGAAGCGUGAGUGACGGUAAUGGGUAAAGAAGCACCGGCUAACUACGUG